Felis catus (domestic cat) is the source of this 3902-nucleotide long non-coding RNA. RefSeq lists it as uncharacterized. NCBI's taxonomy places the organism in Eukaryota, Metazoa, Chordata, Mammalia, Carnivora, Felidae. The record is from RefSeq and is a predicted model, not a curated record. The transcript has 3 exons.
UAAAUGAAAUACAAAAUAUAAAGAAAAAUAAACAAAUUAACCUGCACUUACCUUUGAAAACCUUCAUGACUGGUGUGAGGGAGACGAGAGAGGAGGGUUAUUGUGCAGGAUGACUUUCACUGUCACUAGCAGAAUCACUCCUGGCUCACUGGAAUCUUUUUCUUUUCGUGCAACUUUAACAAGAAACCUAUCCAGUGACACUUGCUUUUACCCCCUUUUGAGGGUUUUGCGGAAAGGUGACAUUGCAUCGACGAUCACCCACAAUCCCACAGCAAGAGAGAGAAGAGCCGUUGGCUCGGUUGUGAUCAUGUGAUGUUUGGCAUCACGUACUACUCGUGUUGCAAGACAGCUCUCGUUUAUCGAGCUAAAAUACAUUAGAAAUGUUUGCUUGUGUGGCAGAACACGCAGAACAAGUUACUCGCAAUCCAAGGUUCUACUGUAUAAGAAAGCAAGAGCUGGAAGAGUUGAAAAUGGUUGCCUGCAAGGAGUUGGACAAUUGGUUGGAACAAUUAGUUGAGGACUUCUGUUUUGCAUUUUGAUCCAUUGCAUAUUUGAGUUUCAAACUAGCGCGUGCAUUACUUCAUUAAAAACUGAAUUGAAGAAGCGAAGAAUCGAGCUAGAAUGUUGGAGUGGGAGAUGACAGGCAGUUGACUCACCUUUGGAACCUUAAAAAUACUGGAGUGGAUAGCAGACUUCCUGCAGGUCGGUGGAAAGGGGGAUCAUACUAUUUUAACUGUAUGUGAAAGGAAAAUAUGAGACCAGCAGACUGAAGGACUUAAGAAUAAUCAGGUUUGGGGCGCCUGGGUGGCUCAGUCGGUUAAGCGUCUGACUUCGGCUCAGGUCAUGAUCUCGUGGUCCAUGAGUUCGAGCCCCACGUCGGGCUCUGUGCUGACAGCUCAGAGCCUGGAGCUUGUUUCGGAUUCUGGGUCUCCCUCUCUCUGACCCUCCCCCAUUCAUGCUCUGUCUCUCUCUGUCUCAAAAAUAAAUAAACGUAAAAAAAAUUUCUUUAAAAAAAGAAUUUUCUGGGUUAAAAUUGAAGGCGUGGAGAGACAUUUCUCACCACGUUGCCCUUUCUUUAGGUGAUUUCUCCAAAGGACUGCCUCAGUAUGCCUUCACUUCUGGAGUGAGCUUGUGAGACAUUGAGGAGAGAAAAGAGAAAUCCAAACAUGUGUGCAUGAGUGAUUUACCCAGACCUCUGGGCUCAAAUAGUCUCUACAAUACGAGCUCCUUGAGGGCAAGGAUUUCUGAUUGCUUUGUUCCCUGCUGUAUCCCCAGUGUCUCAAACAGAGCCCUCCCUGAACUAGGUGCUCAGUAAGUUGCCUAGAACUUGAACAUCCAGCAGCUAGCAUCUUAGUGAUGAUGUCAACACCAGUCUUUCUAGGUCUCACCAAGCAGGUAUCUUCUCCCUGCAAUGAUCUGGCAUCAAUGCAAGUGUUUAAAAGGUGGUAUUUCUAUUGUAACUGGAGGGCCAGGCUCUUCCUCAGCCCCGUAAGCUGGUUGAUAUACGGCCAUUCCCCAGCACAUCGUUAAUAACAGUAAGAGAAUCUGGUUUCUGAGCAGGCACUGCCAGCCACUUGACCUCAAACAAGGGUGAAUUCACCUAGGAAACGCCACUCAAGAGGACCCUCGCAAUUGCCAGCCUCCCCGGUGAUAUCCCCAGCUUAAUAUAUAGCCUAGUAUUGCAGAACUGGGACAAUGGGCUGGGAACCAUGAGACGCAGAACCAAAAACCAAACACAGAACCCCCUCACUCUGGCAAGCAUGGGAUUUAACAGGCAGACCUGGCGGAGCUUCAGGGGAAUUACCCUGAGAACACACAGUCCUUUAGGUCAUUUCCCAGAGCUACUGAGCGAUCGGCACGUGGGAGGAACCAAGGGACCCCGUGUCACCGGGAGCGAGUCAGCCAACGUGGGUAGCUUUGGUAAGACUCAACUAGAUAUGACCCUUAAGGACAUAUAAAAAUGACAGAGGGGAUUUUUCAGUGCAUCUCUGUACAGAUGCAGAUGACCCACAGAUGCACCUGGAAACAACCUCUUCGGCACCGCGUUCCCUGCCUCUACCCUGGGAUGACUCCACUUUGCUUCCCAAGGGUAGAGAGCACACGAUGUCCCCCAGAGAGGAAAAGCAGAGGGAAAGAAUUUCCCAUUUUAACCUGGUCUCCUUUGUUAUUUUAGGGCCUACUGUCAUCGAAGCCAUUUCAAAAAUCUGAAAAGAAGUUUUAUUUUCAAAUUCAUAAUGUUGACCAAAGAGACUUGCCUUUAUUAUGCUCAUAAAUCAUUCAUACCUCCUUAAUAGCAAAGAAAUUAUUUUUAAUUUUUAGAAUACUCUUUUCCUCUUUCUUCCCAACACAAGAGGAAAUGAGAAUAAUAUUUUAUGUUAAUAGGAACAAAAUGUUCAAAAUGUAUGCACUGUAUAGAAAUCUUAUAAAAUGUUUCAUUGGAAACAUUUUUUAAGCAACAAAGGAAAUGAAACGCAAAAAGCCACAUUAAAAGCACAUUGAUGACUUUUACUUUAACGAGGAAACUGAGUGAAGUAGAUUAGGGGAGGGUAGAUGGGAGCCCUGAGAGAAAAUUAUGUUCCUUGGGACUCGUGGGGUUAGGGGCUGUCCCAGAUCCCAACGGGAAGCCCAGCCCAGCUCUCAGGGGCACUCUCUGCUGGUCAGCCCCUUCCAGAGGUCAGAAAAGCUUCCCUGAGCAAGGUCAAAGCUCAGCCUCCAGGGACUGAGGCAGGUCCUGCAAUACAGGACCAUUUCUCUCUGCCAGAAGGAUGUCAGGACUCCCUGGACCAGACAACUGCUCCAAUCAUAACCUAGAAACUCCCUGGGAUCCACCGAAGGGUUAAUAGUGAGGGGCAGGGAGAAGUUAAUAGCAAAGAAUAAAGGGCACUGGCAACCCAUCAGAACCCACAGCAUCAAGGACAGUACGGGUGGGAAACAAGAUUCAGAGGGUAGAAAGUCAUUUCUUUGGCACUGACCAAAUGGCACGUGGUUUUGGCAAACGUGCCGGAGAAUGCAAAGGUGCAUGCAUUGCAGCGAAGGCGUCUGCGUGCGGUGGCUCAGUGGUCUGAGACAACCAGGCUUCCCGGCUUCCAGAGAGAUUUACGACCCGCAUUUUCGGGUUACAGCACCUUUCUGUGGGAACAGCCACACUGAGUCCUAAAGGCAAAGCUGAGGGGGCCCUGGAGCAAAGCAGGCAGGACCUUAGCACACAAGGCAGGGCAAACUAAACAAGCAGCUGCCCCUGGGUGCGAACAAGAGAUGGAGGCAAGCCCCCUCCUGCCCGCCCACCCCGUCAAAAUACCACUCACAAGUUACUAACACUAAAAUAUCCUAAAUGCUUUGAAUUAGUCUCAUCCUUGUUAAAAUGCUUUCUAAGACAUUUACAGCUUAUGCACUAAACAAAUCAUUUUUUUUUAAAGCAGAUUCUGAUCAAUGAGAAAGGGGAACGAAGGGAGAGGAAAAUGUGUAUUUGAGGACCCACCACCUACCAGUUACUUUCCUGGUGUUUUUCAGCUUUACCUCAUAAAUGAAGAAUUAGGCUACAGGGAAGAGGUUGGAGAGAGAGGUGACAGACAGCUACAUGGGAGCACUCCCUGUGGAACCUUGAAAAUCAGACGGCUUGUGGGAGAUGACCCUACAUGACACACAGGCUCCUCAAUCCAGAACCACAGGAGCUCUGGCGUGCAGUGAACCAGCAAGGAGACAUUUCAGAGGAGUAACAGUCCUUCCCCAGCUGGGACUGGCCCAUGCCCUGACCUUCUGGUAGGCAAGAUAAACCUGGCUAGAAAGUAAAAUUCUAUCAUCAAGAAAAGAAACAGCAACACAUUCACAACUUUGCUUGAAGAGUGGAACUUCAGUGAAGAAGGAUCGCAUAUCUCAUCACUCUAUCUAUAGGAAGCUUAAGA